CAGACUUGGAAACUGGGGUACUUUUUCAAAGAGAGUUUUCAGAGGGACUCAGAGAGGAGCCCGGGAGCAGAACAGGGUCCAUUUGUUUCACCUGGAGAAUGACAUUAGUGUGAGUCUCACCCUGUUACCCAGACUGGAGUGAACUGGCACAAUCUCGGCUCACUGUCACCUCCACCUCCCAGGUUCAAGACAUUCUCCUGCCUCAGCCUCCUGAGUAGCUGGGAUUACAGAGGAGGAAAAUGAGCUGCAGAAGGAUCAAAUGACCUGCCUGAGGUGCCCUAUCUGUUGGCACAGGCCAGAGCACAUGGUGGAUGCAGGGGCACCCCCUUCCCUUCUCCUCCCCUCCGGCUCUUUGCUGACAGGAUUCUCUCUUGCCUUCUCUGAUGGUACCUGUGCUACGUGCCACAUCCUUUCCCUCAAUGAAUUUCAGGCAGUGGAAGGGGCCGCAGAAGUUCCUUGACUCAUGAGGCGAGGCAUUCAGCGGCCUCGUGACACCUCCCAGGAUCUGCAGUCAUUGGGCUGCACUUGCCAAUAGCAACACCUGGCAAAAAUAGCUAAGAAGCAGAGCGGCCUGGGCUCAGGAGCUGAGCAACCCCUGACUGGCCAGAUGGAGACUGUGUUGAGCUCUGCCCAAGCCCUGUGAUCCUGGAAAACAGUGAAGUUAAGGAGCCAUCUGCAUUCUAGGGAAUGGCCCACUGCAAAAAAUAGCCUUCCUUAUAGGACGUAGAGGACUCAUGAUGUCCCCUCAUUUAUGAUGAGCCAACACACAGCCCUUCCAAAUUCCGAUUCUUUGCUUCAUAACUGAUGAGCUGUUUUGUUCCCACUGGUCAAUCGGAACAACAUUCUUGCUAACCAGAUUUUGGUUCAGCUCUUCUCCCUCCCCAUGUACCUGCCCUGUGUCCUGUCCUCAUCCUGAGCCAGCACACACCCCUCCUUAGUAGCUCCUCCUGCAGCAGGCUGACCUCGGACUCUCCCUGAUCCAUUGUCCAAAUAUAUCACCCUUUCACCCUACAUCCUCACACCCCAUUCUUUCUAGUUUUGUUCAUUCCUCCCUGUGAAAGAUGAACCCUCUUUGCCUAACCCCGGACCUGCUUGCAGACUGCUAUGAUGGCCAGAGUGUCCCCCCUACUGCAAGAGUCCCUUCUGUCCCUUGCAACAUCUUUUAAAUAAAAUCUCUCUUUACCAAG
This 1187-nucleotide long non-coding RNA is filed under the name Homo sapiens (human). RNAcentral describes it as "HSALNT0380220". Lineage: Eukaryota; Metazoa; Chordata; Mammalia; Primates; Hominidae. The record is from RNAcentral.